Molecule: long non-coding RNA, 466 nt
Organism: Grus americana (Whooping crane)
Lineage: Eukaryota; Metazoa; Chordata; Aves; Gruiformes; Gruidae
Exons: 3
Source: RefSeq, a predicted model, not a curated record
CUUGCAGGCCACGGUUCUUACUAGUUGGAGAGCCAGGAUGUGGGCAAGCUUCUCAUUUGGCACCUGCGGUAAUACAUGCCCUGGAAAAGUUUCCAGUUUAUACGCUAGACCUACCUGCUUUGUUUGUUACCGCCACAUCACCGGAAGAAACAUGUGCACGGUUGAUGCGAGAAGCUCAAAGAACAGCGCCGAGUAUCAUUUAUAUCCCACAUAUCCAUUUGUGGUGGGAGGCUGUUGGAGCUACACUGAAAGCUACUUUUACAACACUGCUGCAGAACAUUCCAGCAUUUGCUCCAGUUUUGCUGCUUGCAACAUCCGAUGUGUGUCACGCAGAUCUCCCAACAGAGAUAAAAGAAUUGUUUAUUGAUGAUUAUGAAGAAGUUUUCAAAAUCCAGUUGCCUAAUGAGGAAGAAAGAAGAAUGUUUUUUGAGGACUUAAUUGUAAAUCAAGCUGCUAAAGCUCCUGC